This 442-nucleotide ribosomal RNA is filed under the name uncultured bacterium. RNAcentral's name for it is "partial 16S ribosomal RNA". It matches the Rfam family "Bacterial small subunit ribosomal RNA", at positions 338 to 795 of the family's 1533-position model. The record is from RNAcentral.
CCUACGGGUGGCAGCAGUGGGGAAUAUUGGGCAAUGGGCGCAAGCCUGACCCAGCAACGCCGCGUGAAGGAAGAAGGCUUUCGGGUUGUAAACUUCUUUUCUCAGGGACGAAGCAAGUGACGGUACCUGAGGAAUAAGCCACGGCUAACUACGUGCCAGCAGCCGCGGUAAUACGUAGGUGGCAAGCGUUAUCCGGAUUUACUGGGUGUAAAUGGCGUGUAGGCGGGGACGGAAGGCAGAUGUGAAAACCAGGGGCUCAACCUGGGGCCGGCAUUUGAAACGGUGGUUCUUGAGUCGUGGAGAGGCAGACGGAAGUCCUAGGGUAGCGGUGAAAGGCGUAGAUAUUAGGAGGAACACCAGUGGCGAAGGAGGACUGCUGGACAGCAACUGACGCUGGGGCGCGAAAGCGUGGGGAGCAAACAGGAUUAGAUACCCUUUAGUC